UUUUAUAAGGCACGGCUGUCUCCUAACCUCUGCCUGCCACCUGAAGAUGGGUCAUCACCCCAGUGGUUGAUGGGUCAAUGGGUCAUCACCCCGGUGGUUGGUGGGUCAAUGGGUCAUCACCCCGGUGGUUGAUGGGUCAAUGGGUCAUCACCCCGGUGGUUGAUGAGUUAUAGGUCAAACCCGAGAGCAACACCAACCACCAGCAGUCAGCAGUAUUUCCUGCAGGACACAGCCUUUUCCUGAUGAUCUCCUGUCCAGAGUGGUGCUGGCCCUGCUCUGCUCACCCCAUGAGCCUACCCAGGGUCAGUGUGUGGCUCUUUGUACUGCUGCAGUUUGCUUGGGAAGAUGUUGCUCUGCAUCAAUUGGGUGCAACAAAAGCAGCUCGGGUCCUUCCUGAAGCCACGAAUCCCUUGGCUUUCUCUCCUCAUUUGGCAGGAUGGAAAAGGCAGAUAAGCCUUUACUUGCAAUAUUUCUGCAUCAGACCCCAGCAUAAGACCCAGAAAGCAGCAUCAGACCAGACCACAGAGGUGUGACUCAGUGAUUCUCCACCUGCUAUGGGCAGAGAAUCUACCUACAAGUGCUCCCGUUGCCCACGGGUGGCUUCUGUUCAAUGAAACACCAGGGCUGCGCUAUUGCAAUCUGCUCUCACACCUCUGCUGGUGCUGAAGUUGGAAGCCCGGACGGAACCCUGGGCUCCAUCUGCCUGCAGACCCCCAGGCUCUGUUCCCAGAUGUGUGGUGGAAUCCCACAUAGCGAGGCCUGGCCGUGGCUUCCACGCUUGGCUGCACAGCACAGUGAUCUCCAGCAACGGUGUGAAUUUCUCUAACACGUUUCCGUGUCAGGGCUGGCUUGUUUUCAUGCUGCCAGCUGGGGAACGAGCCACGAGACACGUGCUGUUGGGACACAGGUGCUGCCAGAUCGAAUCACAGCACUGCUUCAUUACCAGGCUGGGAUGCUGGACCACAGCAGAAAGCCCCCAGGGAAGAUCUCCUGCUCUCCAUCUGACAGAUGCUUCCAUCUAAUGCAGGCUUUCUUCCCUCCUGCUACGUUUGCAAGCGCGUCUGCCGUCAUUCUGGAUGCUCCCUAUAAGUAUACGAAUUGUACCUCCUUUUAACACCUCUAAAUAAGGCCUGGUUUCCAAAUGCCCACUCUGUUCUGCUGCUCCUCUCCGCUUCCACUCCUCCCUGCUGCAGAGCCUGGAAACGACGGGAUGGAAGGAGCUCCGCAGGCUCACGAGUGUCACAGUCUAAGGAAAAACACUGCCUCUGCAGUCAGCUUGGUUUGGCUUUGGAUGAGACAAACGGGUCUGGUGGGUUUGGACCCCCAGAGGUCCCAUCCAACAUCCUCCAUUCGGUGAUAUGGCAAUCCUGGUACAGCAUCUCCCGUUCCUAGAGCAUCCCGCCCAUGGGUCCCAGGGCUUACAGUCUGCUCCAGCACUCACAGCCAUGGACAUCCCUGUUCCCCAGCAGCUCUGGGACUGGAUCUUCUCCGUCAGCUCACCCCAAGCAGUCACCAAACCCACACAGGACCAUUCAUAUCCCUUGUGAUGGAAAACCUGCUCCUCUAACAGCAGCAGACAGGCGGGAGAAAGCCCUUGGGCUUUAAUUGCUGCAGAAAGGCAGCCAGAAGUACUGCAGAGAUAAAUAGACCGAAGCGAUGCUUGGUUAUCUGAAAGCUUCAGCUUUGCUCUUUUCCAGAAGAAUAAGCAUCAUCCUUAGCUAUAAAGUAGCUCUCAGCUCCUUAAAUGCUGUGGAUCCUUCUGUUCUAUGACAGAUUUUGGUGAACCAGGUUCAGUGCAUCUUUAUCAACCUCUGGUGAUGCUUUUCUCCUUCAGCCUGCGAAGGCUUGAAGCAGCAGUGAACAUCCAUGGGCUGAAAACUACAACCUGGAGAUGGGCUACUGACU
Molecule: long non-coding RNA, 1905 nt
Organism: Gallus gallus (chicken)
Lineage: Eukaryota; Metazoa; Chordata; Aves; Galliformes; Phasianidae
Source: Ensembl